GAUGAACGCUGGCGGCGUGCCUAAUACAUGCAAGUCGAACGAAACUUCUUUAUCACCGAGUGCUUGCACUCACCGAUAAAGAGUUGAGUGGCGAACGGGUGAGUAACACGUUGGCAACCUGCCCAAAAGAGGGGGAUAACACUUGGAAACAGGUGCUAAUACCGCAUAACCAUAGUUACCGCAUGGUAACUAUGUAAAAGGUGGCUAUACUACCGCUUUUGGAUGGGCCCGCGGCGCAUUAGCUAGUUGGUAGGGUAAAGGCUUACCAAGGCAAUGAUGCGUAGCCGAAUUGAGAGGUUGAUCGGCCACAUUGGGACUGAGACACGGCCCAAACUCCUACGGGAGGCAGCAGUAGGGAAUCUUCCACAAUGGGCGAAAGCCUGAUGGAGCAACGCCGCGUGGGUGAAGAAGGUCUUCGGAUCGUAAAACCCUGUUGUUAGAGAAGAAAGUGCGUGAGAGUAACUGUUCACGUUUCGACGGUAUCUAACCAGAAAGCCACGGCUAACUACGU
This 511-nucleotide ribosomal RNA is filed under the name uncultured bacterium. Its description in RNAcentral is "partial 16S ribosomal RNA". It matches the Rfam family "Bacterial small subunit ribosomal RNA", at positions 28 to 506 of the family's 1533-position model. The record is from RNAcentral.